GACGAGCCACACAAACGUUAUUCGGAAUUACUGGGCUUAAAGGGUGCGUAGGCGGCGCGGAAAGUGGGGUGUGAAAGCCCUCGGCUCAACCGAGGAAUUGCGCUCCAAACUACCGUGCUUGAGUGAGACAGAGGUAAGCGGAACUUCGGGUGGAGCGGUGAAAUGCGUUGAUAUCCGAAGGAACACCGGUGGCGAAAGCGGCUUACUGGGUCUCAACUGACGCUGAUGCACGAAAGCCAGGGUAGCAAACGGG
Molecule: ribosomal RNA, 253 nt
Filed under: uncultured bacterium
Lineage: Bacteria
Description: partial 16S ribosomal RNA
Rfam family: Bacterial small subunit ribosomal RNA
Source: RNAcentral